Molecule: ribosomal RNA, 292 nt
Filed under: uncultured bacterium
Lineage: Bacteria
Description: partial 16S ribosomal RNA
Rfam family: Bacterial small subunit ribosomal RNA
Source: RNAcentral
GUGUCAGCCGCCGCGGUAAUACGUAGGCAGCAAGCGUUGUUCGGAAUUACUGGGCGUAAAGAGUGUGUAGGCGGUGUCGUAAGUUUGGCGUGAAAUCUCCCGGCUUAACUGGGAGGGUGCGCCGAAGACUGCGAUGCUUGAGGAUUGGAGAGGAAAGUGGAAUUUCUGGUGUAGCGGUGAAAUGCGUAGAUAUCAGAAGGAACACCUGUGGUGUAGACGGCUUUCUGGACAAUUCCUGACGCUGAGACACGAAAGCGUGGGUAGCAAACAGGAUUAGAAACCCCGGUAGUCC